CCUACGGGAGGCAGCAGUGAGGAAUAUUGGUCAAUGGUCGAGAGCCUGAACCAGCCAAGUCGCGUGAGGGAGUACUGCCCUAUGGGUUGUAAACCUCUUUUGUCGGGGAGCAAAAGCAGGACGUGUCCGGCUGUGAGAGUACCCGAAGAAAAAGCAUCGGCUAAGCCCGUGCCAGCAGCCGCGGUAAUACGGAGGAAGCGAGCGUUACCCGGGUUUGUUGGGUUUUAGGGGGGCGCAGGCGGGUUUUUAAGUUAGCGGGCAAAACGUGGGGCUCAACCCCAUCCAGCCGUUGAAACUGGGGAUCUAGAGUGUGCGAGAGGUAUGCGGAAUGCGUGGUGUAGCGGUGAAAUGCAUAGAUAUCACGCAGAACCCCGAUUGCGAAGGCAGCAUACCGGUGCACAACUGACGCUCAGGCACGAAAGCGUGGGUAUCGAACAGGAUUAGAUACCCGUGUAGUC
This 458-nucleotide ribosomal RNA is filed under the name uncultured bacterium. RNAcentral's name for it is "partial 16S ribosomal RNA". It matches the Rfam family "Bacterial small subunit ribosomal RNA", at positions 338 to 795 of the family's 1533-position model. The record is from RNAcentral.